AACGAACGCUGGCGGCAUGCCUAACACAUGCAAGUCGAACGAGACCUUCGGGUCUAGUUGCGCACGGGUGCGUAACGCGUGGGAACCUGCCCUUAGGUUCGGAAUAACUCCCCGAAAGGGGUGCUAAUACCGGAUAAUGUCUUCGGACCAAAGAUUUAUCGCCUUUGGAUGGGCCCGCGUUGGAUUAGCUAGUUGGUAGGGUAAAAGCCUACCAAGGCGACGAUCCAUAGCUGGUCUGAGAGGAUGAUCAGCCACACUGGGACUGAGACACGGCCCAGACUACUACGGGAGGCAGCAGUGGGGAAUAUUGGAAAAUGGGCGAAAGGCUGAUCCAGCAAUGCCGCGUGAGUGAUGAAGGCCUUAGGGUUGUAAAUCUCUUUUACCCGGGAUGAUAAUGACAGUACCGGGAGAAUAAGCUCCGGCUAACUCCGUG
RNAcentral lists this ribosomal RNA (433 nucleotides) under uncultured bacterium. RNAcentral describes it as "partial 16S ribosomal RNA". It matches the Rfam family "Bacterial small subunit ribosomal RNA", at positions 29 to 507 of the family's 1533-position model. The record is from RNAcentral.